GCUAGUUCCGGUUUCAGGAGCCAAUUAGUAAAUGCCCGUGAAGGUCUGUGCCGUUUAAGAUAAGGGAGGAUAGUUAUUUUUGAAUGAGCAUGGCCUUAUUUCUAUAACAGCAUAUUGGAUGACUAUCAUUCAUAUGCCAUUCACCAGCACCGCCUUGCACACUCUUGCCUGUAUCUAUCUGAUCUGGGGUGUAAUCAUUAGUCCAACAGUUGCAAACAAGAGUUGGACAAAAUUGGACAAAUUCCGGCAAUUCAACUGCUCCCUGGUGCUGCUCCCAGGCGCUGCUCCCAGGUGCUGCUCCCUGGUGCUGCUCCCAGGCGCUGAUCCCGGGCGCCGCUCCCAGGUGCUGCUCCAGGGCGCCGCAGACUGAGAAGAGGUGUGCGGUGUGGACUUUUGGUUCGACUCACGAUAUGGAGAGCUGUGAAAGCCUGUCUACAGAUGAAGAGGUCCCAGUGAAGAUGAAGAGGUCCCAAGAGACUGUCUGCAGAUGGAGAGGUCCCAGUGAAGGUCCCAAGAGACUGCAGCCACAUUCUUGUAUGCCAUAGGAUUUGUGUGUACUUAUGUUAGCACAUGUUGUACUCAACAAUACAGUACAAAUUCACACACAAUGUAGGCUACAAACGUAUUAAAUCAAAUCAAAAGUUUAUUUGUCACGUGCGCUGAAUACAACAGGACCUUACAGUGAAAUGCUUACUUACAGGCUCUAACCAAUAGUGCGAAAAAAAGGACGUGUGUGUGUGUGUAGGUAAGUAAAGAAAUAAAACAACAGUAAAAAGACAUUUGAAAAUAAGAGUAGCAAGGCUAUAUACAGACACCUGUUAGUCAGGCUUAUUGAGGUAGUAUGUACAUGUAGGGAUGGUUAAAGUGACUAUGCAUAUAUGAUGAACAGAGUGUAGCAGUAGCGUAAAAAGAGGGCUUGGCGGAUGGUGGGACACAAUACAGAUAGCCCUGUUAGCCAAUGUGUGGGAGCACUGCUUGGUCGGGCCAAUUGAGGGAGUAUGCACAUGAAUGUAUAGUUAAAGUGACUAUGCAUAUAAGAUAAACAGAGAGUAGCAGCAGUGUAAAAGAGGGGUUGGGGGGGCACACAAUGCAAAUAGUCCGGGUAACCAUUUGGUUACCUGUUCAUGAGUCUUAUGGCUUGGGGCUAUUACAACUGUAGCAGGCCAAUCCUGCUCCUGGAGGUCUGCUGGGUGUGCAGGCGUCUCUUCCCACCCUGCACUAACACACCUUAUACAAACGUAUCAAUCCUAAUGACUUGAUAAUAAUGUGUAUUAUUGUUGGGCUGGAAUAGAAGUCUGCUCACCCAGUAGAUCAGGAAGUGGAUCAAGGUUGGCCACCUCUGGUAUGGAUAUUUUAGUUUUUCUAAAAUUGAUGCUUUAGUAAUAAUAGCAUACUUACUAAGAUGUCUAACAUUUACAAACAAGGUAGCUUAUUUCUACAUUGAAAUUAUAUGUUGAUUCAUUACAUUUUUAUUAAUUGUUUAAACUUGUUUUAAUUGUAACGUAAAAAUAUCGUAACGACCCUGGGUUUAUAAGCGCGGAAAUCGACUCUGCCGCUGGAGCGAGCAUGCUUUUGUGGCAGUUGACAGCGCGCCGGACCUCGGGCUCGAAGGUCGACAGCGCGCCGGACCACGGGCUCGAAGGUUCGAAGGUCGACAGCGCGCCGGACCUCGGGCUCGAAGGUCGAGGGUUCGAGACCUGCUCCCUGCCGUUUCAUUACAAUAGUAUCCAAGAUGAACUAGUGUCAAUGUUCAUUCAUUACAGAUCAAUCAAAAAGGUGUGAAGGGGAUCUGUCUCUAACUUGUCUGUGUCUCUGUGUUGCUGUCUCAAAUGAACACGACCUUUUUGUCCAGUUGUAAUCUCUCUGAGCGGUUUUAUUUGAUUGUCAUGCUGUCUCAGGAUAUCAUCCAUUUAGCUGCUUAUCAUAAUGGCAUGCAUUACCAAUGCAACCAUAUGUCUACAGUAUGAUGGCAUUACUGGUCUAACGGACAUGUGCAAUCAAUGUGCCCCUUGUCAUUAUACAUCAGCAGCAGACAAUAGCUGAACUCAUAUUGUUGAGCUAGCUAUAUGUUCUACAUUUGAAAUAGAUCAUGUAUAUGAGGUUAACCAUAAGCCAGAUUUGUGACAUGAUUUAUCUGACAUUAAUUUGUUUAGUGCAAAUUCAACCCUUGUAUUCUAGGUACAUGAUAUUUUAUUUCAGCUCAUGAAACAUGGGACCAACAGUUGACAUUUUGCAUUUAUAUAUUUUUCAGUGUAUCUUCACUGAGUGAACAAAACAUUAAGGACACCUAUUCAGUUAAAACCUUUUGCCCUCAGAACAGCC
Long non-coding RNA from Oncorhynchus keta (chum salmon), 2322 nucleotides. RefSeq lists it as uncharacterized. The record is from RefSeq and is a predicted model, not a curated record. NCBI's taxonomy places the organism in Eukaryota, Metazoa, Chordata, Actinopteri, Salmoniformes, Salmonidae. The transcript has 3 exons.